Molecule: ribosomal RNA, 565 nt
Filed under: uncultured bacterium
Lineage: Bacteria
Description: bacterial SSU rRNA
Rfam family: Bacterial small subunit ribosomal RNA
Source: RNAcentral
GGAAUUUUGGACAAUGGGGGCAACCCUGAUCCAGCAAUGCCGCGUGUGUGAAGAAGGCCUUCGGGUUGUAAAGCACUUUUGUCAGGAACGAAACGGUGGGGGCUAAUACCUUCUGCUAAUGACGGUACCUGAAGAAUAAGCACCGGCUAACUACGUGCCAGCAGCCGCGGUAAUACGUAGGGUGCGAGCGUUAAUCGGAAUUACUGGGCGUAAAGCGUGCGCAGGCGGUUGUGCAAGACAGAUGUGAAAUCCCCGGGCUCAACCUGGGAAUGGCAUUUGUGACUGCACGGCUAGAGUGUGUCAGAGGGGGGUAGAAUUCCACGUGUAGCAGUGAAAUGCGUAGAUAUGUGGAGGAAUACCGAUGGCGAAGGCAGCCCCCUGGGAUAACACUGACGCUCAGGCACGAAAGCGUGGGGAGCAAACAGGAUUAGAUACCCUGGUAGUCCACGCCCUAAACGAUGUCUACUAGUUGUCGGGUCUUAAUUGACUUGGUAACGCAGCUAACGCGUGAAGUAGACCGCCUGGGGAGUACGGUCGCAAGAUUAAAACUCAAAUGAAUUGACGG